AGCUGCGCGGACGGCCUGGGACCGUGCGGCGCCUGCCCGGGGCUCCCGCACUGCGCACGCAAGCAGGCUCGUCGGCGUGGGAUUUACACGAACUGGGGGCGAGGCAAUUUUGAGUUGAUGGUGGCAGCAGCAGUAGCAGUGGCAAUGGGGGCCUUCAGGAACCUAAAAUUCUGAGUGAGAAGAAUCUUCAUCUCUGAUCAGAGGGGCUGUGAUUCUCAAGAGGCACACUGUAGAUUUGAAGACUAAACUAGGGCAGACACCUCCCAGGCCCCAGACUGGCCACUGGAUGGUACAUCUGGAGGACGGAGCUGAAUAGGACUGCAAAGGCUUGUAAAUGGAGCUGAUGCCAAAUUGCAGCCCACAGAAGAUUGGAUAAAACUUCCAGCCUGAACUCAACCAAGUCAAUUGCCUAUUUAAACAAAAACAUCAACAUUCUCAUAGGAUUUAGACAGAACGCAGAGUCCUAUGACAUAAUAUUCAAAAUGUCCAGGAUACAAUCCAACGCUUUUGUAACAAUGAACACAUAUUACUCAGCCUACAGAGAGCCAGGAAAACCUUAAUUUGCCUGGCAGGAGCCAAUCGUAGAUGUCAACACUGACAUGACAUAGAUGUGGGAAUGUCUGACAAAGACUUCAAAGCAGCUUUAUGUCUGUCUGUGUGCCCGUAUUUGUUUAUGUUGUUUUGGGUACUGUCCCUUUGUAAUAAGUUUUAAAAUCGGGAUGCAUGAGUCCUAUACUUUUUUUUUUCUUUUUCAAGGUUGUUUUGACUAGUUGAGGUACUUCGGAAUUCCAUGUGCAUUUUAGGAUGAAUUUCAGCAAAUGACAUCACUGGAAUUUUGGUUGCGAUGGUAUUGAAUCUGUGUAGCAUUUUGGGUAGCAUUGACAUCCUAACAAUACUGUCUUCCAAUCCACAAACUUGGGAGGUCUUUACAUUUAUUUGUAUCUUCUUUAAUUACUUUCAGGAAUGCUUCAUAGUUUUCAGCAUACAAACCUUUGGUUUCCUUAGUAAAUUUUUCCUAAGUAUUUUAUACCUU
Molecule: long non-coding RNA, 1033 nt
Organism: Canis lupus familiaris (dog)
Lineage: Eukaryota; Metazoa; Chordata; Mammalia; Carnivora; Canidae
Exons: 3
Source: RefSeq, a predicted model, not a curated record